UGCUUUUUCAUGUAAUUUACAUGGAAGAUUAUGGAGGUAGAGCUGCUAAUUUGGAUAAAAACCACAGUUGAGGUCGCCUGAAUGAGAUCCGGUGUCUUUGUGUGUUAAGGUCAGCUUCCCUCUCUGCCAUGUUUUCUUCCAUAUUUAAAAAAAAGGGAGAUUUUUUAUUAUAUGCCUGAAAACGUCUCACUGCUGCCCUCUUUAGGUCAAACUGUGCCUAAGCAUUUUAAUUUUCCUGUUGGUUACUGCAGUACUGGAAGCUGGCGUUACUAAAUCCACCUCUUGUUGCUAGGAAACGGUAAAAAAAAAAAAAAAAAAAAACACUGAUCAUGUUACCAAAUAGUUACGAGGUUGGUAUCAUUUAAUAAAGUUUAUGAAGAUGCCUGUCACGUCACCACAAAGAGACAAGAGAAAGGGAGAGUGUGACACAGAUGCCUUCCCUGACAGAGAGACAGACAGGCGGACGGAGAGGUGUGGCGGAUCCCCGAGACGCUCUGCAGAGUUAAUAUCCCCUCUCUGAGCCACUGGCUACCGUGAGGAUCCAGGCUGACGUCAGGGAUAUUUCUGUCCAUCUCCUGGUCAGGGAGGGGUCAUUAACUCUAAUGCAUUAUUCACACAGGCUGCAUCAACCUAGACAGAUCUUAUCUCAGCAGGGCAAAGCAACUAUCAGCCCUGAAUAAACACUAAACCACUCCGCCUUCACACAUUUAAAUUAAUCCAUUCAGAGGGAAUUUAAAAAUAAAAGCGAUCGUUGUUCCUUCA
Poecilia latipinna (sailfin molly) is the source of this 762-nucleotide long non-coding RNA. RefSeq lists it as uncharacterized. NCBI's taxonomy places the organism in Eukaryota, Metazoa, Chordata, Actinopteri, Cyprinodontiformes, Poeciliidae. The transcript is spliced from 2 exons. The record is from RefSeq and is a predicted model, not a curated record.